This 25-nucleotide transfer RNA is filed under the name Stenocercus quinarius. RNAcentral's name for it is "partial tRNA-Tyr". Lineage: Eukaryota; Metazoa; Chordata; Lepidosauria; Squamata; Tropiduridae. The record is from RNAcentral.
GUUUAGGGGAGAAGAGUCUCUCUUU